GGCAAGAUGGCCGAGCGGUCUAAGGCGCUGGAAUCAGGUCACAUGAAAGCAAUCCAGUCCGAAAGGGCGCGGUUCGAAUCUCGCUCUUGUCA
This is a non-coding RNA of Fomitopsis serialis, 92 nucleotides long. Lineage: Eukaryota; Fungi; Basidiomycota; Agaricomycetes; Polyporales; Fomitopsidaceae. The record is from the annotation of a RefSeq genome assembly.